CCUUAUCAUUCGACUGUCCAGA
This 22-nucleotide microRNA is filed under the name Limulus polyphemus (Atlantic horseshoe crab). Its description in RNAcentral is "Lpo-Mir-184-P20_5p* (star (passenger))". The record is from RNAcentral. Lineage: Eukaryota; Metazoa; Arthropoda; Merostomata; Xiphosura; Limulidae. RNAcentral also lists the same sequence under 3 other names.